CAUAGGAGGAAUAAAGCCAGCCCUCGAGGGGCGCGAUACCGGGGACAAAAGCGGACAGGACGGGCACCAACUGAUACCUGUCGCUUUGCUCUUCUUGCAUCCCGUGAACGGUAGUCGUUGCCUUGAUUUUUAAGAAAGACUGCUUAUUCUUCUUGCCAUGUACUGGCCGAAAUCACAAGUUUGCACAUGGCUUAACAUGGAUGAUUUUCAAUUGAUUAAAAAAUUUCUAAUUUGAUUUGGAUAAGAAAAAUAGAGAGAGAGAGAGAGAGAGAGAGCUUUCUAAGUAUUGCUAGGUGUUGAG
Molecule: long non-coding RNA, 301 nt
Filed under: Elaeis guineensis (African oil palm)
Lineage: Eukaryota; Viridiplantae; Streptophyta; Magnoliopsida; Arecales; Arecaceae
Description: long non-coding RNA (EGUI_LNC017861)
Source: RNAcentral